RNAcentral lists this ribosomal RNA (468 nucleotides) under uncultured bacterium. Its description in RNAcentral is "partial 16S ribosomal RNA". It matches the Rfam family "Bacterial small subunit ribosomal RNA", at positions 28 to 507 of the family's 1533-position model. The record is from RNAcentral.
GACGAACGCUGGCGGCGUGCUUAACACAUGCAAGUCGAACGGAAAGGCCCUGCUUUUGUGGGGUGCUCGAGUGGCGAACGGGUGAGUAACACGUGAGUAACCUGCCCUUGACUUUGGGAUAACUUCAGGAAACUGGGGCUAAUACCGGAUAGGAGCUCCUGCUGCAUGGUGGGGGUUGGAAAGUUUCGGCGGUUGGGGAUGGACUCGCGGUUUAUCAGCUUGUUGGUGGGGUAGUGGCUUACCAAGGCUUUGACGGGUAGCCGGCCUGAGAGGGUGACCGGCCACAUUGGGACUGGGAUACGGCCCAGACUCCUACGGGAGGCAGCAGUGGGGAAUAUUGCACAAUGGGCGGAGGCCUGAUGCAGCAACGCCGCGUGCGGGAUGACGGCCUUCGGGUUGUAAACCGCUUUCGCCUGUGACGAAGCGUGAGUGACGGUAAUGGGUAAAGAAGCACCGGCUAACUACGUG